GGUACUGAUCACUCUUCUCAGCAAAGUCCUCCUCUUGCUUGGUCACUCUGUGAUUGAAGUCUCCCAAUUUCACAGCGACUUUCUUUUUAUACACCUGGGAAAACGAAUGGCCAUGGGGAGAGUGAGUUUGGUGGCAUGGAGGAUCACUCCCAAAGUAGACAGCUUCAUGGUUUUCUUCAGUGAUGGCUUUUUAACUAUAGCUCAUCCAUGCCUGGUAUCAAGACUCAAUUAGCAGACAUUGGCUAACCUUUGGCUGAGGAUGCUAUGGGAAGAGAAUUGCUAUUAGUGAAUCUAUAAUAAGAAUGAGUUGCCCUCAAACAGAAGAAAAACUGCCAUAUGAAGAACUGGAGUGCAAAAUAUGUUAUCAGAAAUUUAAUGUUUACAGUCGUAAACCCAAAAUCUUGGACUGUCUUCACAGAGUGUGUGCAAGUUGCCUGACUAAGAUAGCUCACACAGGAGAUGGAACUAGCACAUGUAUUAGCUGUCCCUUUUGCCGCUAUGACACAGAGAUGCAAGAGGAAAAGAUAGCAGGACUUCCUGAUGACACAAACAUUAUGUCUAAACUUUUGCUCAAGGACAAGACAACAUGGAACUCAGACAGCAGUGAAGCGGUCUUAACACCAAAGAAUUUGGUAUCUUCAAGUCCUUCCCACGGAUUUUCCAACUGUUUAGCACUGACACUUAUGGAAGUUCAGCCAAACUGGACAAGGACUCCCAGCCAAAACACUAUCUCUGAUUACUAUGGCGGUCACAGUUCGGAUUCAGUAUCUAUAAGUUCUUAUAGUCAAAUUGAUCAAGACCUUUUCUCUAAAAUCUGUAAUCAUGUACCUAGAAUACUAAAGUGGCUAUUGGGAUUUUUCUACUUUGGAUCCCUGCCUCUUGGGAUCUACUUGUUGGUGAUCCAGAAAAUAACCCUGGGAA
Non-coding RNA from Phascolarctos cinereus (koala), 921 nucleotides. The record is from RefSeq and is a predicted model, not a curated record. NCBI's taxonomy places the organism in Eukaryota, Metazoa, Chordata, Mammalia, Diprotodontia, Phascolarctidae.